GAUGAAGAACGUAGCGAAAUGCGAUAAGUAGUGUGAAUUGCAGAAUUCAGUGAAUCAUCGAAUCUUUGAACGCACAUUGCGCCCCUUGGUAUUUCAUGGGGCAUGCCUGUUCGAGCGUCAUCUACAACCCUCAAGCCCUGCUUGGUGUUGGGCGUCUGUCCCGCCCCCGCGCGCGGACUCGCCCCAAAUCCAUUGGCGGCGGCCCUUGCCUCCCUCUCGCGCAGCACAUUGCGCUUCUCGAGGCGUCGCGGGCCGCGCUCCACGAAGCACGCAAACCAGUCUUUGACCUCGGAUCAGGUAGGGAUACCCGCUGAACUUAAGCAUAUCAAGAAGCGGAGGA
Molecule: unclassified non-coding RNA, 340 nt
Filed under: soil metagenome
Description: partial contains 5.8S ribosomal RNA, internal transcribed spacer 2, and large subunit ribosomal RNA
Rfam family: 5.8S ribosomal RNA (bases 1-120)
Source: RNAcentral